Non-coding RNA from Mycena rosella, 93 nucleotides. The record is from the annotation of a GenBank genome assembly. Lineage: Eukaryota; Fungi; Basidiomycota; Agaricomycetes; Agaricales; Mycenaceae.
GCGCCGGUGGUGUACGGUACACGCGCCUCGUCUCUUCAUCAGAUGGAGGUAGAAUGAGGAGGCGAGCCCGGGGUUCGACUCCCCGCCGGCGCA